UACGUAAGGGGCAAGCGUUGUCCGGAAUCAUUGGGCGUAAAGAGCGUGUAGGCGGCUCGAUAAGUCUGCUGUGAAAGUCCAGGGCUCAACCCUGGAAGGCCGGUGGAAACUGUCGGGCUAGAGUCCGGAAGAGGCGAGUGGAAUUCCCGGUGUAGCGGUGAAAUGCGCAGAUAUCGGGAGGAACACCAAUGGCGAAGGCGGCUCUCUGGCUCGGUACUGACGCUGAGGCGCGAAAGCGUGGGGAGCAAACAGG
RNAcentral lists this ribosomal RNA (253 nucleotides) under uncultured bacterium. Its description in RNAcentral is "partial 16S ribosomal RNA". It matches the Rfam family "Bacterial small subunit ribosomal RNA", at positions 524 to 776 of the family's 1533-position model. The record is from RNAcentral.